GUACUCGCUUCAGCAGCACAUAUACUAAAAUUGGAAUGAUACAGAGAAGUAUGGCCCCUGUGCAAGGAUGACACGCAAAUGCGUGAAGCAUUCCAUAUUUAA
Suncus etruscus (white-toothed pygmy shrew) is the source of this 102-nucleotide small nuclear RNA. NCBI's taxonomy places the organism in Eukaryota, Metazoa, Chordata, Mammalia, Eulipotyphla, Soricidae. The record is from RefSeq and is a predicted model, not a curated record.